RNAcentral lists this transfer RNA (73 nucleotides) under Apaloderma vittatum (bar-tailed trogon). It matches the Rfam family "tRNA". From Rfam's summary of the family: Transfer RNA (tRNA) molecules are approximately 80 nucleotides in length. Their secondary structure includes four short double-helical elements and three loops (D, anti-codon, and T loops). Further hydrogen bonds mediate the characteristic L-shaped molecular structure. tRNAs have two regions of fundamental functional importance: the anti-codon, which is responsible for specific mRNA codon recognition, and the 3' end, to which the tRNAs corresponding amino acid is attached (by aminoacyl-tRNA synthetases). tRNAs cope with the degeneracy of the genetic code in two manners: having more than one tRNA (with a specific anti-codon) for a particular amino acid; and 'wobble' base-pairing, i.e. permitting non-standard base-pairing at the 3rd anti-codon position. Lineage: Eukaryota; Metazoa; Chordata; Aves; Trogoniformes; Trogonidae. The record is from Rfam by way of RNAcentral.
UGCCGGUUAGCUCAGUCAGUUGAGUGUGGCGCUAACAACGCCAAGGUCACGGGUUCAAUUCCUGUUUGGUCAA